This 514-nucleotide long non-coding RNA is filed under the name Elaeis guineensis (African oil palm). RNAcentral's name for it is "long non-coding RNA (EGUI_LNC008990)". The record is from RNAcentral. Lineage: Eukaryota; Viridiplantae; Streptophyta; Magnoliopsida; Arecales; Arecaceae.
UUAUUAUCAUGCUUAAACUCCAUGCUUCCACUCCCAUGCAUCCCCAUAGCUGAUGCUAGUCGGAGAACUCACCUCUCUCUCUCUGUCUCUCUCUUUAUCCCUCUUAUCUCAAUCUUCCACCAAAUCUCUCCCCAUCCUCUCUACUUUGCCUUAAAACUCCAUCUUAUAGAUCUAGCACUCCUCUUUCAAAACUCUAAAUGACAACAAUGGACAAGUCCUUACCAUAGUCUUCAAACCCUUGCCACCUCUGUCACAAUGUCCACCUCAGUAAAUCAAGAAUGCCAUGUUAAGCAAGCUCCCCGACCACAUGUCCAUUGGGUCCAUCUCCACAUAGACUAGAUCCAUCAUCAUCAUAGUCCAUGAACUCACCUUUGUUGCCAUGCUGCAUACCCUCCUCAACCAUAUAGCACUAUUAGUGCCUUCGACAAUGAUAAAUGCCAAACCCUUCAUCCAUCUCAAGAUCGUUUCCACUCACCAUCAAGGCAUUAUUGAUCUCAUCAUCCACCCAAUAGGA